This 1246-nucleotide ribosomal RNA is filed under the name bacterium CSMCRI-1018. Its description in RNAcentral is "partial 16S ribosomal RNA". The stretch from base 164 to 1246 matches the Rfam family "Bacterial small subunit ribosomal RNA", at positions 1 to 1353 of the family's 1533-position model. The record is from RNAcentral.
CAGACGUCCGUACAACGCAAGAAGUGACUAUGAUAGCUAGUGACGUUCGAUCGUAUGCGCUCUCGUCUACUUUUUCCUGCUUCUUUUCUUAUUGGCAAAUUUUUCUCUCUGCGUGGAGUUCUGAGUAGAUUGCCUAUGUCCGUUCAACCUAUCCGAUGACUGCCUCGAGUCGGUCGAAUCGCACUUUAACCCUAACCGAUGCUCGUACUUCUUUCCCAGCUUCCUUACGCGCUGGCAUGCGUAUGGAAAUAUGGACAAAGGGGGAUAGCCUGAGCCAGGCUGUACGAGUACGUAACGAAGCCUGCGAUUUUUAAAGCACUUCUAGCCUCGAGGAAGUUGGUUAAGUUACUAGUUCCAUCGUUUGACCUUAGGGACAGAAGAAGGCAGCGGCUAACUCCGUGCCAGCAGCCGCGGUAAUACGGAGGGUGCGAGCGUUAUUCCGGAUUUAUGGGCGUAAAGCGCAUGCAGGUGGUUAGUUAAGUCAGAUGUAACAGCCCGGGGCUCAACCUCGGAACUGCAUUGAAACUGGCUGACUAGAGUACUGUUGAGGGGGGGUAGAAUUUCAGGUGUAGCGGUGAAAUGCGUAGAGAUCUGAAGGAAUACCAGUGGCGAAGGCGGCCCCCUGGACAGAUACUGACACUCAGAUGCGAAAGCGUGGGGAGCAAACAGGAUUAGAUACCCUGGUAGUCCACGCCGUAAACGAUGUCUACUUGGAGGUUGUGGCCUUGAGCCGUGGCUUUCGGAGCUAACGCGUUAAGUAGACCGCCUGGGGAGUACGGUCGCAAGAUUAAAACUCAAAUGAAUUGACGGGGGCCCGCACAAGCGGUGGAGCAUGUGGUUUAAUUCGAUGCAACGCGAAGAACCUUACCUACUCUUGACAUCCAGAGAACUUAGCAGAGAUGCUUUGGUGCCUUCGGGAACUCUGAGACAGGUGCUGCAUGGCUGUCGUCAGCUCGUGUUGUGAAAUGUUGGGUUAAGUCCCGCAACGAGCGCAACCCUUAUCCUUGUUUGCCAGCACUUCGGGUGGGAACUCCAGGGAGACUGCCGGUGAUAAACCGGAGGAAGGUGGGGACGACGUCAAGUCAUCAUGGCCCUUACGAGUAGGGCUACACACGUGCUACAAUGGCGCAUACAGAGGGCGGCCAACUUGCGAAAGUGAGCGAAUCCCAAAAAGUGCGUCGUAGUCCGGAUUGGAGUCUGCAACUCGACUCCAUGAAGUCGGAAUCGCUAGUAAUCGUGGAUCGGA